Molecule: RNase P RNA, 414 nt
Filed under: Lysobacteraceae bacterium SCN 69-48
Lineage: Bacteria; Pseudomonadati; Pseudomonadota; Gammaproteobacteria; Lysobacterales; Lysobacteraceae
Description: Xanthomonadaceae bacterium SCN 69-48 RNase P RNA component class A
Rfam family: Bacterial RNase P class A
About the family: Ribonuclease P (RNase P) is a ubiquitous endoribonuclease, found in archaea, bacteria and eukarya as well as chloroplasts and mitochondria.
Source: RNAcentral
GGAGUCGGCCAGGCAGUCGCGUCACCGGAAACGGUGCCGAGGAAAGAAACGGUGCCGAGGAAAGUCCGGGCUCCACAGGGCACGGUGCCAGGUAACGCCUGGGCGGCGAGAGCCGACGGAAAGUGCAACAGAAAGAUACCGCCGAUGGCCCUGUCACCCCUUUGCCGCCGAUGGCCGGAGCGGCCAUCUCCCGGACUUGCCGGCGUCGCCGAGCAAGUCCUUCGCGGAGACGGCAAAGCAACAGACCGGCACGGCAAACCCCACCGGGAGCAAGACCAAAUAGGGAGACGAUGAGGCGGCCCGCCGAGUCUCCGGGUAGGUUGCUUGAGCGUAGCGGCGACGCUGCGCCUAGAGGAAUGACUGCCGCGGCGCGCAAGCGUCGAACAGAACCCGGCUUAUCGGCCGGCUCCGCCA